Molecule: ribosomal RNA, 253 nt
Filed under: uncultured bacterium
Lineage: Bacteria
Description: partial 16S ribosomal RNA
Rfam family: Bacterial small subunit ribosomal RNA
Source: RNAcentral
GACGAACCUUGCUAACGUUAUUCGGAAUUACUGGGCUUAAAGGGUGCGUAGGCUGUGCGGAAAGUUGGGUGUGAAAUACCUCAGCUUAACUGAGGAACUGCGCCCAAAACUACCGUGCUUGAGGGAGACAGAGGUAAGCGGAACUUAGGGUGGAGCGGUGAAAUGCGUUGAUAUCCUAGGGAACACCGGUGGCGAAAGCGGCUUACUGGGUCUCAUCUGACGCUGAGGCACGAAAGCCAGGGUAGCGAACGGG